GUGCUUGCUUCGGCAGCACAUAUGCUAAAAAUUGAAACAAUACAGAGGAGAUUAGCAUGGCUCCUGUGCAAGGAUGACACGCAAUUUUGUGAAGCGUUCCAUAUUUUU
This 108-nucleotide small nuclear RNA is filed under the name Cervus elaphus hippelaphus. RNAcentral also lists the same sequence under 1 other name. Lineage: Eukaryota; Metazoa; Chordata; Mammalia; Artiodactyla; Cervidae. The record is from RNAcentral.